This 792-nucleotide ribosomal RNA is filed under the name uncultured fungus. Its description in RNAcentral is "SSU rRNA". It matches the Rfam family "Eukaryotic small subunit ribosomal RNA", at positions 564 to 1361 of the family's 1831-position model. Lineage: Eukaryota; Fungi. The record is from RNAcentral.
GUGCCAGCAGCCGCGGUAAUUCCAUGCUCCAAUAGCGUAUAUUAAAGUUGUUGCAGUUAAAAAGCUCGUAGUUGAAACUUGGGCCUGGCUGGCGGGUCCGCCUCACCGCGUGCACUCGUCCGGCCGGGCCUUCCUUCUGAAGAACCUCAUGCCCUUCACUGGGCGUGCUGGGGAAUCAGGACUUUUACUUUGAAAAAAUUAGAGUGUUCAAAGCAGGCCUUUGCUCGAAUACGUUAGCAUGGAAUAAUAAAAUAGGGCGUGCGUUUCUAUUUUGUUGGUUUCUAGAGACGCCGCAAUGAUUAACAGGAACAGUCGGGGGCAUCAGUAUUCAGUUGUCAGAGGUGAAAUUCUUGGAUUUACUGAAGACUAACUACUGCGAAAGCAUUUGCCAAGGAUGUUUUCAUUAAUCAGUGAACGAAAGUUAGGGGAUCGAAGACGAUCAGAUACCGUCGUAGUCUUAACCGUAAACUAUGCCGACUAGGGAUCGGGCGAUGUUCUUUUUCUGACUCGCUCGGCACCUUACGAGAAAUCAAAGUUUUUGGGUUCUGGGGGGAUUAUGGUCGCAAGGCUGAAACUUAAAGAAAUUGACGGAAGGUCACCACCAGGCGUGGAGCCUGCGGCUUAAUUUGACUCAACACGGGGAAACUCACCAGGUCCAGAUGAAAUAAGGAUUGACAGAUUGAGAGCUCUUUCUUGAUUUUUCAGGUGGUGGUGCAUGGCCGUUCUUAGUUCGUGGGUGACUUGUCUGCUUAAUUGCGAUAACGAGCGAGACCUUACUCUGCUAAAUAGCCA